UGCUAAGGCCGUGGGGUCU
RNAcentral lists this unclassified non-coding RNA (19 nucleotides) under Chlamydomonas reinhardtii. RNAcentral describes it as "small RNA Cre_3152". The record is from RNAcentral. Lineage: Eukaryota; Viridiplantae; Chlorophyta; Chlorophyceae; Chlamydomonadales; Chlamydomonadaceae.